GAUGAAGAACGCAGCGAAAUGCGAUACUUGGUGUGAAUUGCAGAAUCCCGUGAACCAUCGAGUCUUUGAACGCAAGUUGCGCCUCAAGCCAUUAGGUUGAGGGUACGUCUGCCUGGGCGUCACAUAUCGUUGCCUGAUGCCAGUUUCCUCGUGAUGGGUGACUGUGCAGGGCGAAUGAUGGCUUCCCGUGAGCAUUGUUGCCUCAUGGUUGGUUGAAAAUUGAGUCCUUGGUAGGGAGCGCCGUGAUAGAUGGUGGUUGAGUGACGAACGAGACCCAAUCAUGUGAGACCCCUACCGAAUUUGGCCUUCAUGACCCACAUGCGUCUUUGGAACGCUCAUGACGAGACCUCAGGUCAGGCGGGGCUACCCGCUGAGUUUAAGCAUAUCAAUAAGCGGAGGA
This 400-nucleotide unclassified non-coding RNA is filed under the name soil metagenome. Its description in RNAcentral is "partial contains 5.8S ribosomal RNA, internal transcribed spacer 2, and large subunit ribosomal RNA". The stretch from base 1 to 122 matches the Rfam family "5.8S ribosomal RNA", at positions 35 to 154 of the family's 154-position model. The record is from RNAcentral.